RNAcentral lists this ribosomal RNA (974 nucleotides) under Alternaria sp. RNAcentral's name for it is "SSU rRNA". It matches the Rfam family "Eukaryotic small subunit ribosomal RNA", at positions 118 to 1101 of the family's 1831-position model. The record is from RNAcentral. Lineage: Eukaryota; Fungi; Ascomycota; Dothideomycetes; Pleosporales; Pleosporaceae.
UAUUUGAUAAUACCUUACUACUUGGAUAACCGUGGUAAUUCUAGAGCUAAUACAUGCUGAAAAUCCCGACUUCGGAAGGGAUGUGUUUAUUAGAUAAAAAACCAAUGCCCUUCGGGGCUCUUUGGUGAUUCAUGAUAACUUUACGGAUCGCAUAGCCUUGCGCUGGCGACGGUUCAUUCAAAUUUCUGCCCUAUCAACUUUCGAUGGUAAGGUAUUGGCUUACCAUGGUUUCAACGGGUAACGGGGAAUUAGGGUUCGAUUCCGGAGAGGGAGCCUGAGAAACGGCUACCACAUCCAAGGAAGGCAGCAGGCGCGCAAAUUACCCAAUCCCGACACGGGGAGGUAGUGACAAUAAAUACUGAUACAGGGCUCUUUUGGGUCUUGUAAUUGGAAUGAGUACAAUUUAAACCUCUUAACGAGGAACAAUUGGAGGGCAAGUCUGGUGCCAGCAGCCGCGGUAAUUCCAGCUCCAAUAGCGUAUAUUAAAGUUGUUGCAGUUAAAAAGCUCGUAGUUGAAACUUGGGCCUGGCUGGCGGGUCCGCCUCACCGCGUGCACUCGUCCGGCCGGGCCUUCCUUCUGAAGAACCUCAUGCCCUUCACUGGGCGUGUUGGGGAAUCAGGACUUUUACUUUGAAAAAAUUAGAGUGUUCAAAGCAGGCCUUUGCUCGAAUACGUUAGCAUGGAAUAAUAAAAUAGGGCGUGCGUUUCUAUUUUGUUGGUUUCUAGAGACGCCGCAAUGAUUAACAGGAACAGUCGGGGGCAUCAGUAUUCAGUUGUCAGAGGUGAAAUUCUUGGAUUUACUGAAGACUAACUACUGCGAAAGCAUUUGCCAAGGAUGUUUUCAUUAAUCAGUGAACGAAAGUUAGGGGAUCGAAGACGAUCAGAUACCGUCGUAGUCUUAACCGUAAACUAUGCCGACUAGGGAUCGGGCGAUGUUCUUUUUCUGACUCGCUCGGCACCUUACGAGAAAUCAA